This 103-nucleotide small nuclear RNA is filed under the name Trichobilharzia regenti. The record is from RNAcentral. Lineage: Eukaryota; Metazoa; Platyhelminthes; Trematoda; Strigeidida; Schistosomatidae.
GUACUCGCUUUACCGGUACAUAUACUAUAAUUGGAACGAUAAUGCAGACAAGAUUAGCAUGGCCCCGUGUAAGGGUGACAUGCAAAUGGAGCUACAAUUUUAC